Molecule: long non-coding RNA, 4051 nt
Organism: Sapajus apella (tufted capuchin)
Lineage: Eukaryota; Metazoa; Chordata; Mammalia; Primates; Cebidae
Exons: 3
Source: RefSeq, a predicted model, not a curated record
AGUGGCCCCCUGUCUAAUCUUUCAUCAAAGGAGCUUUCUCAUCAGAGACCCUAGAGCUGUUUUUUCUGCUUAUCUGUCAAACUGGCUUCCAAGGCAAGCAUUCCUGGCUUAAGGUUUGAACCCCAAGAGCAAGACUUAACAGUUUUUCUGCAGAAAGAGCUGUGUCCCUUCCUUUAACUUGCAAUUGCUAAUCAUGAAGAACAUGCUCUGUGUCCAGAUUCUAAUAAGCUGUAGAAAAGAUAGGAGGACAGUAGAAAGCAGAAAAGCAGGAUUUAUUGGGUCUAUUUCAGGGCUGGGUCAGUGUUGGAGGGGCAAGUAGCUUUGUUAAUUGAUCUCAAAGAGGAAGUCGCUGUCUGCUGUCGAGAAUGAGGCUAUAAAGGUUAUUUUCUCACUCAAAAAUAUGCACUGGGUCCAAAAGACUUCUAUUUAAAAUAUAAAGCUAGAAUGACUUCAUAUUCUGUUAUGGAAUAUGAAACAUUAAGUUGAAAGGGACUUAAAGUAUAUACACAUAAUACAUAUAUAUAUAUGUGUGUGUGUAUCCGUAUGCACACACAAGUACAUACACAUACUUCUGCCCCAGUGUCAAGCUCGGUGCUGUACAUGUGUGUUUCAUCAAAGGAGCACAGAUUGGAGCUGGGGCUGUUAUUUCCAGUGACUUGCCGCCUCCGGGGCAGCAAAUGGAAAAGAGCAGGGUAGCCUGCUCUCUCAGUGGUGUUCACUGCAUCUGAAAGGUCAUGUCAUGUUUCCCAGCAAUUGACUCAAUGGGUUUGGAUUCUGCAACAUAAGGUCAGGCCGUUUCCACUCUGCUUGUGUUUCCUGGGGAACGUGCCUUCCAGUUGUUUUCACAUUGACCUCAUUACCCAGCCCUGAUGAUGAACUUGGCUUGGACAUGUUGUGGCUACAGCUGGCUCAGGACUGCCCUGUCUUUGCAGACCCCAUGCCUCUGCCCUGACCAGUGUGGGUGGGGAUGCUUCUGCCUUGGCUCAGAAAGGCCUGGCCCCUUCCCUCCCCCUGCAAAGGUCCUCUGCAUACAACUGAACAAAGAUUACAGGAGGACCAGGAUGUGACGGAGGGGCUGGGGACCCUUUCUCCCAUUUCUGCAAGGGCAGGGAAUGAAGAGGACAGACAAGAGACACCCAGGCUGCUCGUCUCAGAUCUUCAGUGCAUGAGCAGAGGGACCUGGCCAACAACAAUAUAACAUUUCCCAAAUUCCCCAGCUCCUUUUUAGAGUGAAUAUUUUCUAAUGAGAAAUGAGAAAAUGAUUUUCAAUGAGAAAUGAGCAAUGAGAAAAUUUGAGCAAUGAGAAAAUGAUUUUCUUGAAUCCACUGUCUCUGUAUACCUCCUGCCUACAAAAAUUUCUCCUGAGUCUCUUUCAAGGGAAUUAGAAUACUUUAUAAAACAUGAUUGUUUCAGCUCUGGGAAGUGGACUCCACCAAAGUAAAAAUACUCAGUGAACUCAAGGGUUUAUUUCCCCAAAUGACUGAGGAACUUGAGCAUGAAUCAGUGAUGCAAUGCUUCUAUCAGCUGAGUCCUAGACAGCCAAUUAGCAUGGGCUGGGCUGGGCUGGGCCGAGCUGUGAGCCCAUGAGCAUCUAGGCCUGCCAUCCCUUGUGUUGUGAUGGUGGGUGGGUUAUUUAAAGUCUUACAGCCUGUCAAAUGGAGGAUUAGUAUGAGGAUAAAUGAGAUCACACCUAGGGUGUACUUAAUAAAGGCUCAUUUAAGCCAUUUAAGUCUGUGUUUCUGGUUUUCACUAUGGAGUGGUCGUAUUCAUCCAGGUCUGGCCAACUACUUGGUGAAGCCAGAAGAAAGAAAACUAAAGUCUGAUAUGGAGGAAAAGAAAAUUCUGGACCAUGAAGGUCAAUCAGGCAGUAGAAUAAUUCCAGGAAGCUGUCAAGACUCUAGAACUAGAGAUAUUCAAGGAAAAAUUGGAUAUUGUACUUAGGGAAAUAAUAUUGGAAGACUUUGUAUCCUUAGGUAUGAGUCUGAAAGAGAUGACCCAGCAGCUGAUCUAUAAAUAAAAUGCUUUUUUGAUGUCUAAGAUUUGGGUGCUGUGGGAAUGGCGGGAUGUGUCGGGCACUUUGAAAAGUGAUGAUACAAAAGUGUUGCAGUACAGUGAAAGCCUAUGUUUCUCUUCAUUAGAAAAACUAUAUUAGAAAUGUGCAGCCCAUUCUAAAAUGCAAAUAUGACAAGGCUGCUCCCUCUCUUACAGUAGACUAGCCUACUCUGUAUAAACAUGUAUAACGAAUGGUUCAACUCAAGAGAAGUUUAUUUUUGUGCUCCUUGGUCUGAGGCAGCUGUUCCUGGUUGAUGGGAAGCUUUCUUCCAUACGGUGACUCAGGAAUCCAAACUCCUUCUGACUUAUGGUUCUACCAUCUCCUACCCCCUUGUCAUCCUCUACAUGAACUGGUAAAAGGGGAAAGGAUUUGUAGGAGGGGCAGUCACCUCUUAAAAGCCUUGGCCAGAACAGGUGCCAUCUUCCUUUUCAUAUUCCUUUGGCUAGGACUCAGCCACAUGGCCACACCUACCAUUAAAAGCUGCUGGGAAAUGGAGUCAGCUGGACAUCCAGGAGGAAAAAGAGGAGAUGGCUCCAGCUGGGCACCCUGUGGUUUUGUGACAUUUUGUUUCCUAAAGUCCUUCAACCAAUCCCACACAGCUCUGAUAUUGGAGCAUUUACAUCAGGCAAAGUCACCCUCCGUUAUCUUUGAGAAACAGAUAAAAGCUAUGGCUCUCUCUCCAUGCUUAUACCCAUUGCCAAUUCUGCUUGCCGGUUUACAGAGGCUUCUCAGAUGCCAUCAGUGGAAUUACUAACCUAGAGCAACAGAGAAGUUGCUCUCCAAUAACGUCCUAUCUAUGAAGUAAUGUUUUCACAAAGAACUGGUGCACCUUCAGAAGACCGGCAGUGGAUAAGGGAGCAUGUAAGCGGCUAAUUUUGAUGCCAGCAUCCCUAGGAUUGGUUGUUGGGGAAAUGCAUAGAGUUUUAGGUGCAAUGUUUUAAAGGGAAGACUUACAUUAUGAGGCUAGCCCAGAAGAGGGUGACUAGAGUACCUAGGAGUUCCUACUUGGAAGGGCUGAAGUCAACUGUCAUGUUGUGAGCUGCUCAAUGGAAAGACUCAUGUGGAAGGAAGUGAGGGAGGCCUCUGGCCAAUAGUCCAGGAGGAACUGAAGCCCUCAGUCCAACAACCUGUGUGGAUCUGAAUCCUCUAAACAAUUGCAUGUGUGAGCUUGGAAACAGAUCCAUACUCAGUCAAACUUUGGGACCCCACGCCUGCUGACGCUUGAUUGUGGUUCCAGCUAAGCCACUGCUGAAAUCUCAACUCAGGGAAACUAUAAUAUAGUAAAUGUUUGUUGUUUCAAGUUGGCAGAUUUUGGAAUAAUUUUUUAUAUAGUGAUAAUUUUUUAUAUACCUUAAAACAACUCAUUAGCCUAUCCUUUGCUACACUUUUCUCUUGGAAAUCUGCUUGCCCACAUAUUACAGAAGUAUCUUUCAGAUCAUAGGCUGAAAGGUGGAUUAUGGAUACAAUGUUUAAAUUUAGCAGUGUCAUUUAUGGCCGUUUAUAUGAGCUUUGCUGCAUAAAAUGUUGAUAUUAAUUUGUUUCCCUUUAAAACAUUCUUAAUGUUUACCUCAGUAUUUUCUUUGUAAUCAAUUAAUAUAAAAUGAAUAUAGUGUAUAGGUUUUACCUUUUUAAAUUUGUUUUAAACAAAACACGUAACAUCUAACCAUUGUUAUUUAAAGAUCAACUAGAAGGAGGUGAUGGAAACUCAGUUUAGGAUCACCUUCUUUACACGUUCUAUUUCUGUGAGUAUAUAUUAAACUAGUGGGGGAUCAAGCUACAAAAAUGCUACUUGGGGAGAAUGUCUUUUUUUUUUUUAAAUAUGAAUACUCAACCCUGAAGUUAUGUUUUUGUGGAAAGUUAUCACUUUGGAAUUUGAAUUUUCUUGGAGCUAAGCCACCGGUGGUUGUAAAAGCGACACCUGUAAAUUUACUCCCUAGAAGAUACUUUUGUUUAGUGACUGCUUGUUUCUCUGUGGAUAAAUUCAAUUAUAAAUUACAA